UCCCCAAAGGAAGAAAUUGAAAGUAAAGCUUUAAACGUCAGUUCAACACAAACAAGUGGUUCUUCAAAUAAUAACAGCUCGCCAAACCAUACUAAUAAUAAAACUAUUGUACAUACUGCUACAUCUUUUCCUCCUCCUACUACAGUUAUUUCUACUACAAAUGGUAGUACCAGUUCUAUUAACAAAAAAGACAUGAAAAGAGUUUUGAAUGAUGAAGUUGUGACGGAUACAAAAACCGAUACAGGCAAUAUUAAAAUGGAAACAAAUAAAUAUAGUAAAAAUAACAGUUCAAAUUUGCUGAAUGAAAAUAAAGAUACAACUACCACUACUACUACUACUACUACUACUAGUCCAACAAAAAAUAAUAGUGAUGCUGAGGUACCCAACAUGUCAUUUAAUGAUUGUUUAGAUGUGUCAGAAGAAGAAAUAAAUAUUAUUUCAAAUGGUAAUACUGAUGAUGUAAUAAAUGGAAAAAAGAAUAAAAAUGUGUUAUUACCUAAAGAUGAUGAUAAUAAUCAAAGUCUUAAAGUAGAAGAACAAAAUAAAAAUCAUAUGGACCAUUAUCAAAAUGAUAAUUUAUUUAACGGCCAAUCAAGUGGUUCUUAUUCAACUGAUGUAUGUCAAAAAUAUUAUCAAUUAUAUAAUAAAGAAAUAAUGAAAAGCGAAAAUGAAUUACUUGAAGAAGGUAUUUUAGAAACUGACGAGCAAGAUAGUAUUGAACGAGUACAAGAACAAGCACAUUUGUUUAAAGCGAAUAAAGAUGUAGCAUUAUCAGAGAAUUACAAUAAAACUAAUACUGAUUAUAUACAAGCAGAAGCCUACAAUAUGAAGGAUGUCAUUUCAGCAAAAAAAGACAUAAAGCAAAAUAGUAAUAGUAGUAAUGGUACCAAUAGUAGUGAAGAGCAAAUCGAACAACGUUAUGAAAUAAAAGCUGACACAAAAGAUUAUGUACAUGGAAGCAAACCAAAAUGUGAUAAUGAAAAUAUGAGUAAAAUGUCAGCAUUCGAGAGUGAUAAACAAAAAAAAAAUGAUAAAAAGGAAGUAAAAACGACACUAAGUAAUAAAGUGUUAGACGAUCUAAUAUAUAGUAAUACUAAGAAAAAUCAAACGUCCAUUUUUACUUCUAAUGAAAAUGUAAUAGAUAUAUCAUCUAUAUCUGAAGCAACGAAAAAAAUUGUAUACUCCGAAUUAAAUUACAGUUUAAAUAAUAUGGGUUCUAAAAUAUGUACAGAUUAUAUACAACCAGAUUUGCAAAAAGAUAAUAGUAAUAAAGACUUUGAUGACUAUAUGAGUACAUCUAGUAGAUGCAAAUAUAAUACAGAUGUGUACAAUAUAGAUAUCGGCAAUGCAGAAAAAGAAAGUAGUGACAAUGAGUCUGUGGAUAAUAAUAAUAAACACAGUUCGGAUGAAAUUGAUAA
Molecule: long non-coding RNA, 1418 nt
Filed under: Piliocolobus tephrosceles (Ugandan red Colobus)
Lineage: Eukaryota; Metazoa; Chordata; Mammalia; Primates; Cercopithecidae
Description: lncRNA (ENSPTEG00000010047.1)
Source: RNAcentral